Molecule: transfer RNA, 72 nt
Filed under: bacterium
Lineage: Bacteria
Also listed under: 2 other names
Description: tRNA-Gln
Rfam family: tRNA
About the family: Transfer RNA (tRNA) molecules are approximately 80 nucleotides in length.
Source: RNAcentral
UGGGGCGUCGUCUAAUCGGCAGGACAGCGGUCUUUGGAGCCGCGAGUGGAGGUUCGAGUCCUCCCGCCCCAG